GACGAACGCUGGCGGCAUGCCUAACACAUGCAAGUCGAACGAGACCCCUGACUUCGGUUGGCGGGUCUAGUGGCGCACGGGUGCGUAACGCGUGGGAAUCUGCCCUUGGGUUCGGAAUAACUCAGAGAAAUUUGAGCUAAUACCGGAUGAUGACGAAAGUCCAAAGAUUUAUCGCCCAGGGAUGAGCCCGCGUAAGAUUAGCUUGUUGGUGGGGUAAUGGCCUACCAAGGCGACGAUCUUUAGCUGGUCUGAGAGGAUGAUCAGCCACACUGGGACUGAGACACGGCCCAGACUCCUACGGGAGGCAGCAGUGGGGAAUAUUGGACAAUGGGCGCAAGCCUGAUCCAGCAAUGCCGCGUGAGUGAUGAAGGCCUUAGGGUUGUAAAGCUCUUUUACCAGGGAUGAUAAUGACAGUACCUGGAGAAUAAGCUCCGGCUAACUCCGUGCCCAGCAGCCGCGGUAAGUCU
This 467-nucleotide ribosomal RNA is filed under the name uncultured bacterium. RNAcentral describes it as "bacterial SSU rRNA". It matches the Rfam family "Bacterial small subunit ribosomal RNA", at positions 28 to 527 of the family's 1533-position model. The record is from RNAcentral.